RNAcentral lists this ribosomal RNA (484 nucleotides) under uncultured bacterium. RNAcentral's name for it is "partial 16S ribosomal RNA". It matches the Rfam family "Bacterial small subunit ribosomal RNA", at positions 30 to 507 of the family's 1533-position model. The record is from RNAcentral.
AUUGAGCGCUGGCGGCAGGCCUAACACAUGCAAGUCGAGCGGAUGAAGGGAGCUUGCUCCUGGAUUCAGCGGCGGACGGGUGAGUAAUGCCUAGGAAUCUGCCUGGUAGUGGGGGAUAACGUCCGGAAACGGGCGCUAAUACCGCAUACGUCCUGAGGGAGAAAGUGGGGGAUCUUCGGACCUCACGCUAUCAGAUGAGCCUAGGUCGGAUUAGCUAGUUGGUGGGGUAAAGGCCUACCAAGGCGACGAUCCGUAACUGGUCUGAGAGGAUGAUCAGUCACACUGGAACUGAGACACGGUCCAGACUCCUACGGGAGGCAGCAGUGGGGAAUAUUGGACAAUGGGCGAAAGCCUGAUCCAGCCAUGCCGCGUGUGUGAAGAAGGUCUUCGGAUUGUAAAGCACUUUAAGUUGGGAGGAAGGGCAGUAAGUUAAUACCUUGCUGUUUUGACGUUACCGACAGAAUAAGCACCGGCUAACUUCGUG